This is a long non-coding RNA of Hirundo rustica (Barn swallow), 1886 nucleotides long. RefSeq lists it as uncharacterized. The record is from RefSeq and is a predicted model, not a curated record. Lineage: Eukaryota; Metazoa; Chordata; Aves; Passeriformes; Hirundinidae. The transcript is spliced from 3 exons.
GCUAGCAGGUGGGGCUGUGUAAUGAGGGUGAUAAUGGGAGAGCCCUGACGGGGUACAAGAGAGGUUUUAACUUUUUGUGAUGCUGCUAGGUUUUCCUAAGGAGGAUGAGAGACUAGUCUGGCUCACUCAAGAAGCAACCUCUUCAUUGAUCCUUUUGGACAAGGGGAGGAAGGAGAACUACUUGGAAAAUUAGUUUUCUCAUCAGAGGAUUCCUCAUGAACAGAAUUCAUUUGCUUCAGAUUUUUCCGGUUUCAAGAUCCAACCUCCCAGCCUGAGGGUGCAACUGCCUAAAAAAGGACAGGAACUAUUGUAAUGAAGCAUAUACUGAAUCUUAAUGCAAGAGUAUCUUAAGUAUGAGGAAAAUGCAUUUCUGAGCCUCCAGUACCCACAAAUGUGUGAUCCAUCACCUCUCACAUGCAACAACAGUGGUCGAAGAGCAGAUAAAAGGCUCUUGUUCCUGCCUGGGUGCUAUCCCUCCCGGAGCUGUUGGAAAUGCAAACCCAUGCCAUUGGGGGUUUUGACUGGGCUGGCUAGCAGAAGACCUUAGAGAUAUCUUCUGUUGAGACCUGGAUCUCAAUGUCUCAUGAGGCAUCCCUAUCAAUGAAUUUGAGUGCUUGUAGGUCACCAGAGCCUUGCUCUUCCCCUGGAGUCUGCUCCUGCUUGCUGUGAUCUAUUUAUCUAUACCAGCUUAGGGUCUAAAGCUGGAAAAAAUGUGAAGAGUCCUCCUGUCUUGCUUUAGCCAGGGUUGUGAAAUUCCAUGAAGUGGCUUUCCGUCAUCAUGCUGACCCUCCUGGCCACCCCGUGUUAAUCCUCACCCUGACGCAGUCUCCCCUGGUCUGGGAAAUGUCCUUCUCUAAGAUACAGAAGAAUUGCUCAUCUUGCUGGUUGUUUUGCUUACAUUUUCUGUAACAGCCAAAAUGAAGAACUAUUCUAUUUAAUAGCAGCUGCAUUAAUAAUAUGGGAGAUGCCGUGUUUGAAAGAUGCAUUUUUUUUUUCCCUAUGGAGUUUACAUGGAUCAACAAACAGUUUCAAAAUCUACUCCUUGCCAUUGCAAGCUCUUUUUUCCUCCUGCUGCUACUUUAACCUCACCAGCAAAACCUCCCAUGACCAUAUAAAGUAUAAUUAGGGGAUGCUACUAGAAAAGUAGACACCUUGGGGGGGAAAAACAAAUAAAAAACCCCCACAAUAAAGUAAGAUGAGCUCCCUCUUCCAUCCCAGUUUUAAAAACUGUGUCCAUACCUUGCAGAAUCUUGUCCAAGGAAUAAGGCCAUCCUGAGAUCCUCCGUUUGUUGGCCCUGAACACAAUAAAUACGACUUCAGUCAUGUUUCAUAAGUUACUUAAUAAGGCUAAAAGUAUUUAGAGAACCAAGUUCUGAGUGUUUAUUUGGAAGUCAGCUGCUGGACUAAGAAAGACAAGGAAGGGCAGGCUGCUGUGCUUUCACAGCUACUGCAGGGGACGUUGCAAAGUUCCCCUCUGGGAGUUUUUAGGAUAAUCAAACCUGUGUGAGCAGCCCUGGGAUGGGAACCAAUCCAUCCUGACACUUUCUGUGCUGUGCUGCACCAAACACUUGCCAGCUGCAAAAUGCUUCCAGGAAGGAAACUGAAUCCCUGCACAGUUCUUGCCAGCACAACGAGAAGACUACAGCCCACAAGCUCCUCUGCAGGCUCAGCAGACCCUGCAGCAUCUCUCUGAGAUAAAGAACUUUCUUACCUUGACUCUGGUGACUUGCAGGCUUUUGUCCCAGAAACUCUUGACUCCUAGGUCUACCCCAACCACAGACCCAUCUUUAUUCCUGUUGCAAUUGUUUCCCUCAGGCUUCUUUUUAUAACCAGUGUUUCAUAACCAUACCCAAACCACAAAGAAAAGUCAUAUGCUGGGCCUACAG